RNAcentral lists this ribosomal RNA (497 nucleotides) under uncultured bacterium. Its description in RNAcentral is "partial 16S ribosomal RNA". It matches the Rfam family "Bacterial small subunit ribosomal RNA", at positions 28 to 507 of the family's 1533-position model. The record is from RNAcentral.
GAUGAACGCUGGCGGCGUGCCUAAUACAUGCCAGUCGAGCGAACGGACGAGAAGCUUGCUUCUCUGAUGUUAGCGGCGGACGGGUGAGUAACACGUGGAUAACCUACCUAUAAGACUGGGAUAACUUCGGGAAACCGGAGCUAAUACCGGAUAAUAUUUUGAACCGCAUGGUUCAAAAGUGAAAGACGGUCUUGCUGUCACUUGUAGAUGGAUCCGCGCUGCAUUAGCUAGUUGGUAAGGUAACGGCUUACCAAGGCAACGAUGCAUAGCCGACCUGAGAGGGUGAUCGGCCACACUGGAACUGAGACACGGUCCAGACUCCUACGGGAGGCAGCAGUAGGGAAUCUUCCGCAAUGGGCGAAAGCCUGACGGAGCAACGCCGCGUGAGUGAUGAAGGUCUUCGGAUCGUAAAACUCUGUUAUUAGGGAAGAACAUAUGUGUAAGUAACUGUGCACAUCUUGACGGUACCUAAUCAGAAAGCCACGGCUAACUACGUG